RNAcentral lists this non-coding RNA (160 nucleotides) under Dysgonomonas mossii DSM 22836. RNAcentral's name for it is "Bacterial large subunit ribosomal RNA". It matches the Rfam family "Bacterial large subunit ribosomal RNA", at positions 2754 to 2925 of the family's 2925-position model. Lineage: Bacteria; Pseudomonadati; Bacteroidota; Bacteroidia; Bacteroidales; Dysgonomonadaceae. The record is from Rfam by way of RNAcentral.
ACUGGAUCGGAUAAGUGCUGAAAGCAUCUAAGUACGAAGCCGGCUUCAAGAUAAGAUAUCCUCAUAAGGGUCGUUGUAGACUACAACGUUGAUAGGCUGCAGGUGUAAAGGCAGUAAUGUCAUAGCCGAGCAGUACUAAUUGCCCGAAAGCUUUCACAGG